GGGGCUGUGGGCUCAGUGGCAGAGCAUCUGCUUUGCAUCCAGAAGGUCCCUGGUUCAAUCCUCAGCAUCUCCA
This is a non-coding RNA of Podarcis lilfordi (Lilford's wall lizard), 73 nucleotides long. Lineage: Eukaryota; Metazoa; Chordata; Lepidosauria; Squamata; Lacertidae. The record is from the annotation of a GenBank genome assembly.